GUGGUCGCUUCAGCAGCACACAUAUCAAAAUUGGAACAAUAAAGAGAAGAUUAGCAUGGACCUUGCGCAAGGAUGACAUGCAAAUUCAUGAGGCAUUCCAUUUUUUG
Molecule: small nuclear RNA, 107 nt
Organism: Vulpes vulpes (red fox)
Lineage: Eukaryota; Metazoa; Chordata; Mammalia; Carnivora; Canidae
Source: Ensembl